CGGUCAUUGACUUAAGAGUCGCGGCAGCUCCUUCUCCUCGACUCCCCGGGCGUGAGGGAGAGGAAGCGCUGGGCGGGCGGCGGGACUCGGCCUCGGUGCAGAUAUAAGGAGAAGUCAGCAGUCUACAAAUCAAAAAACUUUCCUUACCAGAACUCAACCAUACUGGCACCCUGCUCUUGAACUUCCAGUCUCCAGAACUUUUAUGAAGCACUGCUGUAUACAUCAUGCUACUGAAUGAAGACCUGAAUGCCUCAGACACUUGUAGCACCAAGCUUCAUGAUCUUUAAGGUCUUGGAUCAACUGGUAUUGUGAAAAGAAAAUAAGCUGGUAACCUCCCUCUCACCGAGGUAGUGAAGACGCCACUGUCUGCUCCACAGGGUGGCGGGGGGUGACGCCCGGACCUCGCUUCACACAGGAGGCCCUCUGUAUCUGUGGGUUCUAUAUCCUUGGUUACAGAAGGCCGACUGUACCACACCAUUUAAUACAAGGGACUUGAGCACCCGUAGAGUUCGAUAUCCUUUGGGGGUCCUGGAACAAAUCCCCCAAGGAUCCCCAGAGAUGACUGUAUGCCACCUAUCAGAAGUGUGAAGACUUCACCUGAGCAACGAACAACCCUCUUUGCUGUAAGACGUUGAGAUUUGGGGCACCUUUUUUUUUUUACUGUGCAUUACCGAGCCAAGAAGCCCUCAAACUCUUUGGUCUCUGAACAUCUCUGAACAUCUCUACACUCUUGAAAACUAUUAAGGACCUGUAUUGACUAUGUUUCCUUACUUUUGUCUUCUUAAAGCUCUGGCACCUGGGACCUUGCUAGCACAGGGGACACUGCUCCUUUGAGGACUAGCUAAUUCCUAGAGAUAACAAGCUCCUCCCUUGUGAAUAUACCUCUCAUGUGCAAGCUAACCAAUCCAAAACCAUACCCCCUCUGCCCCCAUAAGCACCCCCUUUUUCCAGCUCUCACAGGGCUCUUAUACUCUGGGCCAGUACAGCGAUAUGUUGUUUUACUGCACUUCACAGAUACUGCAUUGUUUACAAAUUGAAGGCUUGUGACAAACCUGCGUUGAGCAAGUCUAUUGGUGCCGUUUUUCCAGCAGCAUUAGUUUUUAAUUAAGCUUGAGACCAAAGAGUUGCUGUGAGGGAACAUGGAACUGAGGUUGCCUGCAGUUGCAUAGAGGGACCAAACGUAUGGCUGGAUGCCGAGAAACAGUUAGAAUGCUCCUGUGAAGAGAGUGGCUGGCGGAUAGUGGGUCAUUAAUCACCAGAGGUUGAGCCCAUGCCCCCUCUUCAGGCCACUAUCGACGAGGCCUGUGAGGGUCAAACAGUGUGCCUUUCAGAUGCGUGAAGACCCUAGGAACCAAGGCGUGAUGGAUGUGUCUGGUGGAGAAGAGACCAUUACAAGCCACUUGUUGUUUAAGAACUCUCUCCUGUCCCAUUUGCCACCAAAAGUUAUUUCCUCUGUGUUGGUGGGAGUCAUAAAUGCGUCUACUUGGAAUCACAUACGGGAAGUUCCAGAACAUUCACGCAGCUUUUCAGGUCUUCACCCCCACCGUCAGUUUACACCAGCUGCUUCUCAUCACCUAGCCCUGGGGUCCUUCCCAUCAAGUUCGGUCCAACAGAGAAGCCAGCACCCAAAGGAAGUCCAUGCACACACUGAGCAGUGGACAAAAGCCCAGACUUGAAGAGAGUGGUAUUUUCUCCAGAGACACCGGAUAGGAAUAUAACUUGAAUGUCCCACAUGUGGUCCACUCAUCCACGCUGGCUUUGAACCACACUCAUUCCACGCUGAGCUCUCGUUUCCUAAAGCGCAUUCUAUGGUCUUCCAGUGCAGACAUAUGGCACGCACUUCUGGCUGUUCUACAGAGCCUUCUGGUCCAGGGCUGACUGAAUAUGUCUGUAGGCUAGAGGUCUGACAUGGGCUCCACUGAGCUAAAAUCAAAGUGUCGGCAGGGACGCGUUCCUCUCUGGAGGCUCUAGGGGAGAAUCUGUUCCCUCGCCUUUUCUAGCUUCCAGAGGCCGCCCACGUUCUUUGGCUUGUGGCUCCUUCCCGAACCUGCAGUAACUUUCUUCCUGUAUAUGCUGGAGUAUCCAAGUACAGACAGAUCAACCUGGGGACGAGACGAAAGAGAGGUCACAGAUACACAUCUCCAAAUUCCCACCUCUCACCAGCGGAGGGCGAGUAUUCUUCUGCCGCUCAUGAGAUGAUGAUGUAUUUGCUGACCCACACAUGAACCAGGGAGGGGGCACAGAGCUGGGGAACGAACGUCCGCUGCGUGGAGGGCAGGGGACAAGCAGAGAAACGUCUCCGGGGAGUAGCGUGAAGAAAUCACAGGGAAAGCUGCCUGGAAAAAAAAAAACUAAUAAAAGGAAUGCU
Molecule: long non-coding RNA, 2368 nt
Organism: Lagenorhynchus albirostris (white-beaked dolphin)
Lineage: Eukaryota; Metazoa; Chordata; Mammalia; Artiodactyla; Delphinidae
Exons: 11
Source: RefSeq, a predicted model, not a curated record